GUGAUGGCUGGUGGGAACAGCACUUUCCUUUUGUGGGAAGAUGGUGUGGUGUGCAGUAGUGGUCACUGUUGGAGAGAUGUUUAUGUCUUGUACAUGAAGAGCUGCUCUCCCUCUGAUAGCUGCCUGCCAAGCGGCUCCAUCCAUCAUUGAGAGCGGGCACCACACGGCUCACUGCCCCAAGGUAUCCUGAAAUAUUUCUCCCAACUUUAACAUGUUCAUUCUCUCCACCUUAAUUUGCUAUGAAGACAUCUAUCUCACUGGUGAUAUAAGAGUGAUUUUCCUGGUUUAGAACUAUGGUGUACCUGUUUUGACUUUAAAUUAGAUGAGUAGUUGACAUCUCAGAUCCUGCCGAAGGCCUGUGCAUUCUGAUCAAGAGACAGGAGGAGACAGCAGGAGACAUGGAAAGGAUUAUAUAAAGACUGUUUCUUCCUGGACUCAUGGACCAAUGGGGAGAAAAGCUAGUUACAUUCUGUAACAAGCAAAAAACCGGAGGAAAAAACUCCUUCAGAGCAGAAGUUUGGACACCUCCGUCCCCAUGCUGAGCCCCUCCAGCUAAACCAGUGUUCUUGGAGCCCCGUUUUUGCUUUACUAUUAGCUCCAUGAAGGCCAAGACUGUCUUUUUCACUUUGAUCAUAGCUAUUCAGUCAUAGCUUGUUGAAA
RNAcentral lists this long non-coding RNA (660 nucleotides) under Homo sapiens (human). RNAcentral describes it as "HSALNT0136690". Lineage: Eukaryota; Metazoa; Chordata; Mammalia; Primates; Hominidae. The record is from RNAcentral.